UACCCGAGACUCCGUCUGGUCCAUCAGC
RNAcentral lists this small RNA (28 nucleotides) under Bombyx mori (domestic silkworm). RNAcentral's name for it is "ovarian small RNA-20665". The record is from RNAcentral. Lineage: Eukaryota; Metazoa; Arthropoda; Insecta; Lepidoptera; Bombycidae.